GGGGUUGUGGUCCAAUGGCAAGACACUCAUCUCCAAGGUGAGGGACGCCAGUUCGAAUCUGGCCUUCUCCA
This 71-nucleotide transfer RNA is filed under the name Pseudocercospora pini-densiflorae CBS 125139. RNAcentral describes it as "tRNA-Trp (CCA) (tRNA-Trp-CCA-1-1)". It matches the Rfam family "tRNA". Rfam says of the family: Transfer RNA (tRNA) molecules are approximately 80 nucleotides in length. Their secondary structure includes four short double-helical elements and three loops (D, anti-codon, and T loops). The record is from RNAcentral. Lineage: Eukaryota; Fungi; Ascomycota; Dothideomycetes; Mycosphaerellales; Mycosphaerellaceae.